AUGGCACCGGAGCCCGCUGUGCUACCCGAGGAUGCCCUGACGGAGGUACUCCGGCGCCUCGCGCCGCACAGCCUAGCCGUAUCCCGGCUUGUCUGCAGGGGCUGGCGCGAUACUAUCAACGCCCGCCUGCGCGGCCACCUGCUAUCCCGCUCCGUGGACGGGAUCUUCAUCAACUUCACCCAGCUUAGAUUUUUCGAGUUCUUCUCAUGUCCCUCGAUGGGCCCGGCGAUCUGUGGAGGGCUCAACUUCUUGCCCUGCAUGGGCGUCAGGGUCAUGGACCACUGCAGCGGGAUCUUGCUUUGCCGCGGUCUGGGGCACGAGUGCGACAAGGCACUGCCGAGCGAUUAUGUCGUCAACCCGGCCACACGUCGGUGGACGCGUUUGCCCCAAUGCCCUCCGCCACACAUGCCGGGAUUCGACCAGAGCGCCUACCUCGCGUUCGAGCCAGGCGUGUCGCUGCAGUACGAGUUCUUUCUGAUCCCGCGAGUGCUGUGUGCCGGCGUGUCUGACGAUGAUGCAUUGCUUGGAUCAGAGUGGCCUCCCGCAUCAUAUGUCAUUGAUGUGUUCUCGUUGGCGACUCAGUGGUGGGACACGACGACCUUCAUUCGGGAAGGAGAGGCCCCAGAGAUCAUUGGCUACAUGGAUUCACAUUGGUGGUAUAAUCGAUAUCAUUAUCAUGCCGUCUACUGGCAAAGCAAUCUCUACAUCCAUUGCCAGCAUGGCUAUCUCAUGAGAAUGUGUUUGUCAGAUCACACAUACAGAGUAAUUAAACUACCAGCUGUCAGUCCAUAUUUACCUAGAGGAUAUCCUGACCACCAUUUGGGUAAAUCACUGAGAGGGAUGUAUUGCGCAAUAUCUCAUAAACGGAGUCCGCUUCAUCAGAUUUGGCAUCUCAAUGAAUCUUGCAGCCGAAUAGAAUGGGUGCUAAACCAUGAUACCACUCUUAAGACCUUUGAGCAUGAGGACUAUGCUCAACAACUGGGUAGACAAUGGAUCUUACAGGAUGUUAACUACCAUAAGUUGUUCUUUGAGCGUAAUGGUAAUAUACAUGAAAUUCACAGAGCGGCGGUGGAAGAGAAAUAUGAUUGGAACUCUAAUGAGGAUAACAUUCUUGACAUUGAAUAUGAUGUUGAAGAGGGAUAUGAGGAUACCAUUCUUCACGUUCAAGAGGGAUAUGAGGAUAAUGGUCUUGACUUCGAAGAUGAUGUUGACGAGCAUAACAUUCUUGAAGACAGAUAUUAUGGAAAUUAUUAUUUUCUCGGGUUUCAUCCUUAUAGAGAGAUUGUCUUCUUAAUUUCAUCAGGGAGAAAAACAAGAGGACUGGCCUAUGAUUGGAACAGCUCAAAAUUUCAGGACUUGGGAAAUGUGGGUUCAGCAUAUUACGACCCCAUCUGUGGACUACCAUGCGGAGAGACACAUGCAGCUUUCCCGUACACGCCUUGUUGGAUAGGCGAGUUUCCAGGAAACGAAAUAGAAUCGCUAUAUAAAGAUCAAGAGCUAUCUAGGAAAAAGUUGGAGUUGGAAGAGGAAUCCAACCUUACAUGCAUGGACAUAUACGAGAUGCGCAAGUUCCAUAGGCAUGCCAAGAGGAUCAAGGACUCUGCUGCCAAGAGUCGGCGCAGACGGCACUAG
Molecule: ribosomal RNA, 1632 nt
Filed under: Triticum aestivum (bread wheat)
Lineage: Eukaryota; Viridiplantae; Streptophyta; Magnoliopsida; Poales; Poaceae
Description: partial small subunit ribosomal RNA
Source: RNAcentral